RNAcentral lists this ribosomal RNA (468 nucleotides) under uncultured bacterium. Its description in RNAcentral is "partial 16S ribosomal RNA". It matches the Rfam family "Bacterial small subunit ribosomal RNA", at positions 28 to 507 of the family's 1533-position model. The record is from RNAcentral.
GACGAACGCUGGCGGCGUGCUUAACACAUGCAAGUCGAACGGAAAGGCCCUGCUUUUGUGGGGUGCUCGAGUGGCGAACGGGUGAGUAACACGUGAGUAACCUGCCCUUGACUUUGGGAUAACUUCAGGAAACUGGGGCUAAUACCGGAUAGGAGCUCCUGCUGCAUGGUGGGGGUUGGAAAGUUUCGGCGGUUGGGGAUGGACUCGCGGCUUAUCAGCUUGUUGGUGGGGUAGUGGCUUACCAAGGCUUGGACGGGUAGCCGGCCUGAGAGGGUGACCGGCCACAUUGGGACUGGGAUACGGCCCAGACUCCUACGGGAGGCAGCAGUGGGGAAUAUUGCACAAUGGGCGGAAGCCUGAUGCAGCAACGCCGCGGGCGGGAUGACGGCCUUCGGGUUGUAAACCGCUUUCGCCUGUGACGAAGCGUGAGUGACGGUAAUGGGUAAAGAAGCACCGGCUAACUACGUG